RNAcentral lists this non-coding RNA (32 nucleotides) under Mus musculus (house mouse). Lineage: Eukaryota; Metazoa; Chordata; Mammalia; Rodentia; Muridae. The record is from RNAcentral.
ACAACAAAAAUAAUAGGAAGCAACAAUUACUU